RNAcentral lists this ribosomal RNA (465 nucleotides) under uncultured bacterium. RNAcentral describes it as "partial 16S ribosomal RNA". It matches the Rfam family "Bacterial small subunit ribosomal RNA", at positions 28 to 507 of the family's 1533-position model. The record is from RNAcentral.
GACGAACGCUGGCGGCGUGCUUAACACAUGCAAGUCGAACGGAAAGGCCCUGCUUGCAGGGUACUCGAGUGGCGAACGGGUGAGUAACACGUGGGUGAUCUGCCCUGCACUUCGGGAUAAGCUUGGGAAACUGGGUCUAAUACCGGAUAGGAGCCAUCUUUAGUGUGGUGGUUGGAAAGUUUUUUCGGUGUAGGAUGAGCUCGCGGCCUAUCAGCUUGUUGGUGGGGUAAUGGCCUACCAAGGCGGCGACGGGUAGCCGGCCUGAGAGGGUGUACGGCCACAUUGGGACUGAGAUACGGCCCAGACUCCUACGGGAGGCAGCAGUGGGGAAGAUUGCACAAUGGGCGCAAGCCUGAUGCAGCGACGCCGCGUGGGGGAUGAAGGCCUUCGGGUUGUAAACUCCUUUCGCUAGGGACGAAGCUUUUUGUGACGGUACCUAGAUAAGAAGCACCGGCUAACUACGUG